RNAcentral lists this ribosomal RNA (864 nucleotides) under uncultured archaeon. RNAcentral describes it as "bacterial SSU rRNA". It matches the Rfam family "Archaeal small subunit ribosomal RNA", at positions 39 to 909 of the family's 1478-position model. The record is from RNAcentral.
UGAUACUAAGCCAUGCGAGUCAUUGUAGCAAUACAAGGCAUACGGCUCAGUAACGCGUAGUCAACCUAACCUAUGGACGGGAAUAACCUCGGGAAACUGAGAAUAAUGCCCGAUAGAACAUUAUGCCUGGAAUGGUUUAUGUUCCAAAUGAUUUAUCGCCGUAGGAUGGGACUGCGGCCUAUCAGUUUGUUGGUGAGGUAAUGGCCCACCAAGACUAUUACAGGUACGGGCUCUGAGAGGAGUAGCCCGGAGAUGGGUACUGAGACACGGACCCAGGCCCUAUGGGGCGCAGCAGGCGAGAAAACUUUGCAAUGUGCGAAAGCACGACAAGGUUAAUCCGAGUGGUUUCUGCUAAAGGAACCUUUUGUCAGUCCUAGAAACACUGAUGAAUAAGGGGUGGGCAAGUUCUGGUGUCAGCCGCCGCGGUAAAACCAGCACCUCAAGUGGUCAGGAUGAUUAUUGGGCCUAAAGCAUCCGUAGCCGGCUCUGUAAGUUUUCGGUUGAAUCUGUACGCUCAACGUACAGGCUGCCGGGAAUACUGCAAAGCUAGGGAGUGGGAGAGGUAGACGGUACUCGGUAGGAAGGGGUAAAAUCCUUUGAUCUAUUGAUGACCACCUGUGGCGAAGGCGGUCUACCAGAACACGUCCGACGGUGAGGGAUGAAAGCUGGGGGAGCAAACCGGAUUAGAUACCCGGGUAGUCCCAGCUGUAAACCAUGCAAACUCAGUGAUGCAUUGGCUUGUGGCCAAUGCAGUGCUGCAGGGAAGCCGUUAAGUUUGCCGCCUGGGAAGUACGUACGCAAGUAUGAAACUUAAAGGAAUUGGCGGGGGAGCACCACAAGGGGUGAAGCCUGCGGUUCAAUUGG